RNAcentral lists this long non-coding RNA (291 nucleotides) under Homo sapiens (human). RNAcentral describes it as "HSALNT0242851". Lineage: Eukaryota; Metazoa; Chordata; Mammalia; Primates; Hominidae. The record is from RNAcentral.
CACACACGAAACAACUUUUUGAUCUCUGUCCAAUUGGAAAAAGAUCUGAAUGUUAAUGAAACGGUCAGAUCCACAUUUUAGUCUUUGCCAAAUGAUCCCAUAACUCAGAACAGUGGAGACACAUUGUGACAGGAUGCAAGUCUCUUUGCUUUGAAAAUGUAGACCCCUCAACUAAUGUUUCAGAGAUUUUUGUGCAGUAACAUUGGUACAAAGUAGGGAAAAAUGAAAUCAGAACUUAGUAUACCUUCGUGAACCACAGAAAAUCUUGUGUAAUAGAACUGGUGUGAGAGU